AAAACUAUGAUGACGAUGGUGACAAAUUUGUUGGCAAAAUUUGAUGGUGAUUGUUGUUGUUGUACUGAUAAGAGUAGAGUGAGGGAUAAGACUGCUUCAAACAUGAACCAAAUCAGCAGAUCAAAGCCAACAAAACGGCAAACUGAAAUUGUGCUCUUUUACCAAAUGGAAAUGGUUAAGGAGAACAAAUUGAUCUUCACGUUUGAUGCAACUAAAAAGGCUUGUUUUGGUGUCCUUCCACGGUAUGCAAAGGAUGAACUCUUAAUCAAAUGGUUCGAGCUUCCAAAUUGCUUUAUAUUCCAUAAUGCAAAUGCUUGGGAGGAAGGGGAUGAAGUAGUUUUGAUCACUUGCCGCCUUGAGAAUCCAGAUCUAGACAUGGUUAAUGGGCCUGUCAAAGAAAAGCUCGAGAAUUUUGGAAAUGAACUGUAUGAAAUGAGAUUCAACAUGAAAACUGGUCUGGCAUCACAGAGGAAACUAUCAGCACCUGCUGUAGAUUUUCCAAGGGUGAAUGAGAGUUACACUGGAAGGAAACAACGAUUUGUAUAUGCAACUACAUUGGACAGCAUCGCAAAGGUCACUGGAAUUAUCAAAUUUGAUUUGCAUGCGGAACCAGAGUCUGGAAAGACAAAGCUUGAAGUCGGAGGAAAUAUUCAAGGCAUUUUUGACCUAGGACCUCAUAGAUUUGGUUCAGAGGCUAUUUUUGUCCCUCGUGAUCCUGGUGUUACUUCUGAAGAAGAUGAUGGCUACUUGAUAUUCUUUGUACAUGAUGAGGUGACAGGAUCAUCAAGGUGUUUCUACUUCAAGUACACUUUUCUAAAGGGAUGUUCAUCCGUGGAUUCUGGAGAACUUGCGCUUAGAAGCUUCGGUGGAUUCUGAAGUGACUCAUCGUCGUGGAUUCGACAUUGGCGCUGUGGAUUCAACAUUUGGAGAAGCGAUUCCAUAGUGAAGAUGAUGUUAGAAGAGGUACGAGGAAUUUGAGGUUGAUUUGUGAUGUUCAUUUAUCGCAGGCUAAUGUUGGGUAUUCCAUCGUCUAUUCCCUUGCUUAUGGUUGGGUUGGGAUUACGAAUUCAUUGUUUAAGUGUGUCUUGUCACAAAAUUGCCAAAGGGGGAGAUCUAUGAAGCAUGGGUACUUCGAAAAACAUGUACCCAUACUAGGUACUUACCGGCAUAUGGUACUUCUGCAUACGUACCGGGUACAUGAAACACGUACCCAAAUUUUUUCUUCUUAAUUUUUGGUAUACCUAGACGUACUUAGUAUAUACCCAAGCCAUACCGUACCUCAGUUGAAAUAAUAUUUGCUUCUACUACAGAGAUAAAAUUCCUUUCGCUAUACUUUUUUUUUUUUAUUUUUAGUUUUAUGCUUCGCAUGAUAUUAAAAUUAAGCUAUGGUUUGCAAGUUAUUUAAUGUAUUGACGUUUAAUUUUGGUUUAUACCUUUACUUUUGGUAUUAAAUGUUAAUUGUAGGUUGGAUCUUAACAAAUUAAACCAUUUAAUCAAUUUUUGCGUUACUCUAAAUUAAAAAUAAAUAUUUUUUUACAAACAUACCAAGCCAUACCCAUACCCUACUUUUUUUAGAUUUUACUGUAUCGACAUACCCGUAUCGUACCAGUACCAAUACUCGUAUCCGUACCCAUGCUUCAUAGGGGGAGAUUGUUAGGCCUUUUGUAGUCGGCUAUUCCGUUGGAUAAAACUCCAUUCAAUUGUAAUCACAUUUGUUCUUUUGUUUUUGUGAGAUUGACAAUGCUUUAGAUGAGAAUCCAGCCCAGUUUGUGCUCAAGCAGAGAUAUAUGAACUCGAAAGGCCAAGACAUGCUUGCAGCUUCUCAAAGCCUCACAGACAAAUCCUGCUACAUCAUAAAGUUUCUUGAGCAACCAAAUUUGUGCUCGAGCGGUCUGAGUCAAUUACAGUCACUUAAAAGUGCGUUUUUAGAUCAGAUCUAAGAUCAUCAAGGGGUUUCUUCUUCAAUUACACUUUUCUAGAGAUGUUCAUCGGUGGAUUAUGGGAGAACAUGAGCUUGGAAACUUCGAUGGAUUCCAGAGUGGCUCAUUGUCGUGGAUUUGACAUUGGCAUUGUGGAUUCAACAUUUGGCGAAGCAAUUCUGAGGUGAAGAUGGUUUUAGAAGAGUUCUAGAAGAGGUGCGAGGAAUUUGAGGCAAUUCGGUGUGGAUUCGCUAG
Molecule: non-coding RNA, 2174 nt
Organism: Camellia sinensis
Lineage: Eukaryota; Viridiplantae; Streptophyta; Magnoliopsida; Ericales; Theaceae
Source: RefSeq, a predicted model, not a curated record